This 225-nucleotide ribosomal RNA is filed under the name Epipona tatua. RNAcentral's name for it is "partial small subunit ribosomal RNA". The record is from RNAcentral. Lineage: Eukaryota; Metazoa; Arthropoda; Insecta; Hymenoptera; Vespidae.
AUAAAUCAUUAAAUUAAAAAGAUUUGGCGGUAUUUUAAAUUUUUAGAGGAACCUGUAUAUUAAUUGAUAAUCCACGAUAAGAUUUACUUAAAAGCUUAUGUAUUGCUGUUUUCAGAAUAUUAUUAAUUAAAAUUUUAAAUUUUUAAAUUAAUUUAAUUCAAGUCAAAAUAUAGUUUAAUUAAGAUAUGGGUUACAAUUUUAUUUGGAAAAUGGAUUUAACAGUAA